This 497-nucleotide ribosomal RNA is filed under the name uncultured bacterium. RNAcentral's name for it is "partial 16S ribosomal RNA". It matches the Rfam family "Bacterial small subunit ribosomal RNA", at positions 28 to 507 of the family's 1533-position model. The record is from RNAcentral.
GACGAACGCUGGCGGCGUGCCUAAUACAUGCAAGUUGAGCGCUGAAGGUUGGUACUUGUACCAACUGGAUGAGCAGCGAACGGGUGAGUAACGCGUGGGGAAUCUGCCUUUGAGCGGGGGACAACAUUUGGAAACGAAUGCUAAUACCGCAUAAAAACUUUAAACACAAGUUUUAAGUUUGAAAGAUGCAAUUGCAUCACUCAAAGAUGAUCCCGCGUUGUAUUAGCUAGUUGGUGAGGUAAAGGCUCGCCAAGGCGAUGAUACAUAGCCGACCUGAGAGGGUGAUCGGCCACAUUGGGACUGAGACACGGCCCAAACUCCUACGGGAGGCAGCAGUAGGGAAUCUUCGGCAAUAGACGAAAGUCUGACCGAGCAACGCCGCGUGAGUGAAGAAGGUUUUCGGAUCGUAAAACUCUGUUGGUAGAGAAGAACGUUGGUGAGAGUGGAAAGCUCAUCAAGUGACGGUAACUACCCAGAAAGGGACGGCUAACUACGUG